This 1346-nucleotide ribosomal RNA is filed under the name uncultured bacterium. RNAcentral's name for it is "partial 16S ribosomal RNA". It matches the Rfam family "Bacterial small subunit ribosomal RNA", at positions 28 to 1381 of the family's 1533-position model. The record is from RNAcentral.
GACGAACGCUGGCGGCGUGCUUAACACAUGCAAGUCGAACGGAAAGGCCCUGCUUUUGUGGGGUGCUCGAGUGGCGAACGGGUGAGUAACACGUGAGUAACCUGCCCUUGACUUUGGGAUAACUUCAGGAAACUGGGGCUAAUACCGGAUAGGAGCUCCUGCUGCAUGGUGGGGGUUGGAAAGUUUCGGCGGUUGGGGAUGGACUCGCGGCUUAUCAGCUUGUUGGUGGGGUAGUGGCUUACCAAGGCUUUGACGGGUAGCCGGCCUGAGAGGGUGACCGGCCACAUUGGGACUGAGAUACGGCCCAGACUCCUACGGGAGGCAGCAGUGGGGAAUAUUGCACAAUGGGCGGAAGCCUGAUGCAGCAACGCCGCGUGCGGGAUGACGGCCUUCGGGUUGUAAACCGCUUUCGCCUGUGACGAAGCGUGAGUGACGGUAAUGGGUAAAGAAGCACCGGCUAACUACGUGCCAGCAGCCGCGGUGAUACGUAGGGUGCGAGCGUUGUCCGGAUUUAUUGGGCGCAAAGGGCUCGUAGGUGGUUGAUCGCGUCGGAAGUGUAAUCUUGGGGCUUAACCCUGAGCGUGCUUUCGAUACGGGUUGACUUGAGGAAGGUAGGGGAGAAUGGAAUUCCUGGUGGAGCGGUGGAAUGCGCAGAUAUCAGGAGGAACACCAGUGGCGAAGGCGGUUCUCUGGGCCUUUCCUGACGCUGAGGAGCGAAAGCGUGGGGAGCGAACAGGCUUAGAUACCCUGGUAGUCCACGCUGUAAACGGUGGGUACUAGGUGUGAGGUCCAUUCCACGGGUUCCGUGCCGUAGCUAACGCUUUAAGUACCCCGCCUGGGGAGUACGGCCGCAAGGCUAAAACUCAAAGGAAUUGACGGGGCCCCGCACAAGCGGCGGAGCAUGCGGAUUAAUUCGAUGCAACGCGUAGAACCUUACCUGGGUUUGACAUGGAUCGGGAGUGCUCAGAGAUGGGUGUGCCUCUUUUGGGGUCGGUUCACAGGUGGUGCAUGCCUGUCGUCAGCUCGUGUCGUGAGAUGUUGGGUUAAGUCCCGCAACGAGCGCAACCCUUGUUCACUGUUGCCAGCACGUUAUGGUGGGGACUCAGUGGAGACCGCCGGGGUCAACUCGGAGGAAGGUGGGGAUGACGUCAAGUCAUCAUGCCCCUUAUGUCCAGGGCUUCACGCAUGCUACAAUGGCUGGUACAGAGAGUGGCGAGCCUGUGAGGGUGAGCGAAUCUCGGAAAGCCGGUCUCAGUUCGGAUUGGGGUCUGCAACUCGACCUCAUGAAGUCGGAGUCGCUAGUAAUCGCAGAUCAGCAACGCUGCGGUGAAUACGUUCCCGGGGCU